CCCUUAGAUGUUCUGGGCUGCACGCGCGCUACACUGAUGCGCUCAACGAGUUUUAACCUUGCCUGGAAAGGUUGGGUAAUCUUUUUAAAACGCAUCGUGAUGGGGAUAGAUUAUUGCAAUUAUUAAUCUUCAACGAGGAAUUCCUAGUAAGCGCGAGUCAUCAGCUCGUGCUGAUUACGUCCCUGCCCUUUGUACACACCGCCCGUCGCUCCUACCGAUUGAGUGGUCCGGUGAGGCUUUGGGAUCUAAGCGAAAAGAGCGUUUCGCUCCUUUUGCUGGGAGAACUCAGUCGAACCUUAUCAUUUAGAGGAAGGAGAAGUCGUAACA
This 327-nucleotide ribosomal RNA is filed under the name uncultured eukaryote. RNAcentral's name for it is "partial 18S ribosomal RNA". It matches the Rfam family "Eukaryotic small subunit ribosomal RNA", at positions 1470 to 1796 of the family's 1831-position model. The record is from RNAcentral.